AGGGGGUUUUUGAUCAUGGGCUCAGGACGAACGUUGGCGGUGCGCUUAAUGCAUGCAAGUCGAGGGAGAAGCAUCUGUUCCGUAAGGUUCGGAUGUGGAAACCGGCGAACGGGUGCGUAACACGUGAGAAACCUGCCCCCUUGACCGGGAUAGCCCGAGGAAACUCGGAUUAAUACCGGAUACUCUCUUUGGACCGCAUGGUCCGCUGAGGAAACAGUCCGCUGCUAGGGGAUGGUCUCGCGGCCUAUCAGGUAGUUGGUGAGGUAACGGCUCACCAAGCCUAAGACGGGUAGCUGGUCUGAGAGGACGAUCAGCCACACUGGAACUGAGACACGGUCCAGACUCCUACGGGAGGCAGCAGCAGGGAAUAUUGCACAAUGGGCGAAAGCCUGAUGCAGCGACACCGCGUGCGGGAUGACGGCCUUAGGGUUGUAAACCGCUUUCAGGAGGGAAGAAAAUGACGGUACCUCCAGAAGAAGCUCCGGCCAACUACGUGCCAGCAGCCGCGGUAAUACGUAGGGAGCAAACGUUGUCCGGAUUUAUUGGGCGUAAAGGGCUCGUAGGCGGUUCAACAAGUCGAUCGUGAAAGCCCGGGGCUCAACCCCGGGAGGCCGGUCGAAACUGUUGUGACUAGAGUUCGGUAGAGGUGAGUGGAAUUCUCGGGUGUAGCGGUGGAAUGCGCAGAUAUCGAGAGGAACACCAUUAGCGAAGGCGGCUCACUGGGCCGAUACUGACGCUGAGGAGCGAAAGCGUGGGGAGCAAACAGGAUUAGAAACCCUGGUAGUCCACGC
RNAcentral lists this ribosomal RNA (791 nucleotides) under uncultured bacterium. RNAcentral's name for it is "bacterial SSU rRNA". It matches the Rfam family "Bacterial small subunit ribosomal RNA", at positions 1 to 800 of the family's 1533-position model. The record is from RNAcentral.